Molecule: RNA transcript, 2114 nt
Organism: Branchiostoma belcheri (Belcher's lancelet)
Lineage: Eukaryota; Metazoa; Chordata; Leptocardii; Amphioxiformes; Branchiostomatidae
Exons: 8
Source: RefSeq, a predicted model, not a curated record
CAGACACCUAGCUAACGCCAUGUUUCUCACUGUAACUUGUGUGUCAUUGUUGUGGUUAGUUGGGCAGGGAGUUGCCCAAAAUGCAACAUGUGACAGGGCCGAAACCGCCUGUUCAUGUACAAUGAGUGAUGGUUCAGGGACCAUUAACUUACAAUAUGUGGAGACUGGUAAACCAACGUACAAAGACCAAGUGGCGGCUGUUCAAAAGGAUGACUACCUCUACUCGUGGAACCCGUGCACUCCGUUUACUGAGGGCCCCGCUGGCGAUCAGGACUCCUGCACCGACGCGGCGGCAUGUCAGAUUUCCAAGGAUCAGUCGAACUUUUUCGGUCUCGGCACGCACGACUCGGCACAGUUUGCGGCGGACACAGAUCCAGACAGCGGCGGUUUGGUAGUGAGUGUUGUCUACCAGGCAGCCUCGUCAGGAAGGGCAUCAGAGGUGCUGCUGAAAUGCACCACGGGAGCAACCGUCUUCACGGUACUUGGCGAGCUUCAGCAGGGACAAUACAUAUUCCAGCUGGAGAGCCCGUGUUGCUGUCCGGGGGCGGUGUCAGGCUGUGCUGGUGGCGGGAUCAGCGGAGGAUCCAUCGUCCUCAUCAUUGCCGCCUCAGUGAUCGUGGUGUACUUUGUUGGCGGGAUGAUCGUCAUGAAGUUUGUGAAGGGAGCCCAGGGGCUGGAAAUCAUCCCUAACUCGGGUUUUUGGACCGGUCUACCGGGAUACAUCAAGGAGGGUGUGUUGUUUAUCGUGUCACCUUGCCGAAAGUCGGGAAAGUACGAUUCAAUCUAACCUCGGAGAAAACAAAUCUUCCCACACUUUUUAUCAAGUUUUUAUUCUACUUGGAAAUCUAUGGGUGCCCUUUAUACUGACAUUCAUAAGUCAGUUGUGACAAAAACAUUGACAAAGCUGCAGAAUACAAGCACAUUAACAGUCAUACUCAUUAGGGAUAGUAAAAAGAUGACACGCAAUUACUAUAUACACUUUAACAUUCUAUGAAUGUUGUUAAGAAUCGCUUCAGCAAGAGCAUCCCUAGCCUCGUCUACAGAACUCAAGAGCAAGCGAAACCGAGACAUAAUAGCAUGUUGUAUUACUAUCAAGCCAAGAGUUGCAGAGACCACGUUGCUACUUCUCAAAAUGAAAGUAUUCUAAUAUACGUUUUCUCUCAAUGAGUCUUCUAUCGAUGACUGGAAAAGAAACGAAAUAAUGAUAUUGAAAGGGCGCCAGAUUUCAAUUAUAUAAAUGUCUGUUUAUGAGGUUAUUUUAAAAAGUCGUCUCUUUAGAUGUAGUUGUUCUGAUAAAUAAUUGCUGGUUUUUAUCUGUAUUGCGAUUUGAACGAUUUUAGAUAUUUUAAGCGAAUCGAUAUUGCCUGCCAACUUGUACACGAGUCUGUCAAUUCAGCCUUUUGGCUGCCGGCCCCAUUUGACUUGUAUGUCUUUGAUUUUAAUAAUAAACCAGUAUACUAAAUUACAAACGAUAUCGGUCCCUUGUAGGUGUAGGUGGUCUCGUGAUCUCUCUCUCGUGACCUCUUUGAUAUUUGCUUGCCUACCUCUUUGUUUGAUUGACACAAAUAUAUCUAGGGCAGCCAAAUCGCCGACCUUUGUUCAUAAUGUCUAACAUUCGUGCGGACAUGUUAGUUAAAUGGGUCACCUGUAAUUACUUUAUGGUAAAAAUAAUGUAUUUAGCAAAAUCAUUAUACACUUGAUACUAUUUUAUACCAUUGAAUUUAUACUAUUCAUAUAUCAACCGUUUGAAUUUGUGAAAGAAAACCACUAAAUUAUAACUUUCUGAUGAAUAAAAGUAAAAUUUCCCUUGUGUAUCCACUGAGUUGGUUUGGCCCUUUUGCAAAAUGGCGUCACCCACUGUGCACAGAAAACUUCAUGUUGUAAUUGGUAUCCUAGUUCUAUACCAUGUAAAUGCGUGCUUUGGGCAGACAACUGUUUGUGAGUCAAUAGACUCUUGCUCUUGUACUAUGAGUGACGGAUCAGGGGUGGUCAACCUGCGGCCUUUGGUGUCAGGAACACCGACGUACAAGGACUACAUUGCCACACAAACCACCGAUGACUACCUGUACUCAUGGAACCCCUGUGCACCCUUUUCUGAGGUAGGAUCAGGCGAU